This 1694-nucleotide unclassified non-coding RNA is filed under the name Hevea brasiliensis (rubber tree). Lineage: Eukaryota; Viridiplantae; Streptophyta; Magnoliopsida; Malpighiales; Euphorbiaceae. The record is from RNAcentral.
AAUUAAUCAAUUUUCACUGAUGAAUAGAUAAGCCUUGUGAACCAAAAGCAAGCAUAAAACCCAAUGGUGCCAGUUAGCACAAAAAAAGCAUAUGAUGCUAUUAGCAUGUAGCCAAAGUAUAACGCCCCAGAAACAAACUUCGUUAUUUCAAGCUUUGUGAAGAAGUAGAAUGUUGCAUAAAGGAAGAGAUAUAACGCUGAGGAGCCAGAUGUAAGGUAUGACCUCCACCACCACAGGUAAUCCUCACUGCACAACUGGAAGUAGCAAAGCACUACAGUUAUUUCCGCACAAGUGACAAUGAGGAUAAUGAACACUAGGAAGAGGAAACCAAAGAUGUAGUAAAACUGAUUCAGCCAUAUUGAGGUGAGGAUGAAGAAGAGCUCUAUGAAAACAGCUCCAAAAGGAAGUAUUCCUCCAAUUAGAAUGGAGAAGGCUGGGUUCAUGUACCAAGCCUGCUCUGGAAUCUGUCUUGGAAUUUUAUUUGUCUUCACAGGAUCCUCAAUUGCUGGCUUUCUUAACCCAAUAUAACUUCCAACAAACACAAGCGGAACUGAAAUCCCAAACCAUAAAAAUACCAAAGCAAACAUGGUCCCAAAUGGCACAGCCCCAGAUGAUUUCUGGCCCCAGAUGAGAGCAUUUAAGACAAAGAAAAUGGCAGAGACGAUUCCAGGAAACAUAAAAGCAGUCCUAAAAGCAGUUUUCUUCCAUUCUGUUCCUUUAAACAUUUUGUACAGACGAGCAGAGGCAUAACCAGCAAAAAGGCCCAUGAAAACCCAAAGUAAGAGCAUGGCAGUCAUAAGGCCACCUCGGUUUGAUGGAGAAAGGAACCCUAGAAUUGCAAAGAUCAUGGUAACAAGGGUCAUUCCAAAAAAUUGAACACCUGUUCCAACAUAGACACAGAGUAAAUCAGAAUUUGAUGGGGGCCUGAAAACAUCUCCAUGGACAAGCUUCCAUCCAGUCUCUUCCUGGGCUUCUUCCUGUGUCUCCAAUUCAUUGUACUUGGAUAUAUCACGGUAAAGCGUGCGAAGCAUAAUCAUUGCCACCAUGCCCGAUAGAAACAGGACGAUCAUCAAUGAAUUAACAAUUGAGAACCAAUGAAUUUGGUCAUCACUCAUUAAAAGAUAGGUAUCCCAUCUAGAUGCCCACUUCACAUCACUCUCCUGGAAUUCAACAUCGUAUGUGAAAAUAACUUCUUUUUUCCCUUCAACUUCUUGAGGAGUGUUUGAAUUAACAACUGUGUGCUUUGCAUGGGGGUCACAGGUUGUUAAACGAGUUUUCUCAUCAUUCCAUUUUCCUUCAUAUUCAUGCUUAACGCUCAAUGGUUUAACUUCAAAUCCAACAAUUCUUGCAGAGUCAGUUUGCAAAUCUCUAUGAAACUUGACAGUGAAUGCCAAAUGAUUGUGGAUAAAAUACUUUUCCUCCUUGCUCCCACUAUAUUGGCCUUUAAGACCAACAUGAAACCCGAGCUGAUACACAGUAGGAGAUUCCUGAUCCAACCUUUGUCUUGGAACCACAAGAGGAAGGUUAUCAAGGAUCAUGUUCACCCGAUACUCAUCAUCAAUCUUCUCUUUAAACUCCUUUACAGUUUUGGCAUCAAAUUUAACACGGCAAACAAUAUUGCACAUCUUUGGCUCCCGCAUUUUGAACACAAAGGGGGAAUUUUCAAUACGGUCACCACGAAGCACUUCCCCUAG